CAGUAGCCGCGGUAAUAGGUAGGAGGCAAGCGUUGUCCGGAAUUAUUGGGCGUAAAGCGCGCGCAGGCGGUUUAAUAAGUCUAACGUGAAAGCCCACGGCUCAACCGUGGAGGGUCAUUGGAAAUUGUUAAACUUGAGUGCAGGAGGGAAAAGUGGAAUUCCUAGUGUAGCGGUGAAAUGCAUAGAGAUUAGGAGGAACACCAGUGGCGAAGGCGGCUUUUUGGCCUGUAACUGGCACUGAGGCGCGAAAGCGUGGGGAGCAAACAGGAUUAGAUACCCCCGUAGUCCCUGUCUCUUAUAC
Molecule: ribosomal RNA, 301 nt
Filed under: uncultured bacterium
Lineage: Bacteria
Description: partial 16S ribosomal RNA
Rfam family: Bacterial small subunit ribosomal RNA
Source: RNAcentral